UAGAGGAAGAAGAAGAGAGGGAGAGAAGAGAAAAGGGAUGAUGAGAGAAAAGAUUUGGGAGAGAAAAGACGGAUUCCAAAGAACCAAACAGGCCCGCUUUUCUCUCUCGUUAAAAAGAGGUUCUUUUCUUCGUUGGCUCUUUUUUCUCUUUCAUUUUUUCUUUAAUUUUUGUUUUUUGUUUUUGUUGGUAACACAAAGUCAUAAAUUUAACAUAACAUAACACCUUUCUUUUCUAUUUCUUUCUCCCUCUAUCUCACGUCUAUCUACAGUCUCUCUCUCUCUCUCUCUCUCUUCCAACAUUUGGGUUCAAAGUUUACAGAUACAGAGCUUGAAAUUCAAGUUUUCAACGGGUAGAUGGAGAAGAAUCAAACGGU
This 374-nucleotide long non-coding RNA is filed under the name Theobroma cacao (cacao). RNAcentral's name for it is "long non-coding RNA (TCAC_LNC002139)". The record is from RNAcentral. Lineage: Eukaryota; Viridiplantae; Streptophyta; Magnoliopsida; Malvales; Malvaceae.